Drosophila melanogaster (fruit fly) is the source of this 1494-nucleotide non-coding RNA. The record is from Ensembl. Lineage: Eukaryota; Metazoa; Arthropoda; Insecta; Diptera; Drosophilidae.
GUUGUUUGUUUUGCUCGACUCUAUGCUCUGUUUACCUGGGGUCUCAUAAGUGGCAAUAAAAUAUAGCAACCCAGAUGCUUUUUUGUAGGUGCUUAUCAGCACUCGGAGUUCCGUUCGUCAGACGAUUCCCAGACCUAAUCAGACCAGCCCCACGAUUACGCAACAGCAUGGAACUUUUUCACUCAAUACGAUACGUCUUUAAUAUAUGUCGUACACCACGGAGAAGUCCUUGUUGCCCAGACCCUUAUCGCACAGCGACUGGUAGACCUUGUGCGCCAGAGAUCCCAGCGGGAUGGGUGAGUUGGAAGCGUUGGCCACUCCGGAGGCCAGACCCAGAUCCUUGGUGAUCAGAGCCGAGGAGAAACCGCCGGCGUAGUCCCUGUUGGCUGGGGCACUGGGGCAGACUCCGGGCACAGGGUUGUAGAUCUCCGAGGCCCAGCAGCGUCCGGUGGAGGAGUUGAUGAUCUCGGCGAAGACAUUGGCAUCGAGACCCUGGCGCACCGCCAGAUUCAUGGCCUCCGAAACACCGAUCAUCGAGAUGGCCAGCAUCAUGUUGUUGCACAGCUUGGCGGCCUGGCCCAUGCCAUAGACGCCGCAGUGGGUGAUCUUCUUGCCCAUGCACUCUAGGACGGCCUUGACGGCAUUGUACUCCGCCUCGGUGCCGCCCACCAUGAAGGUGAGGGUGGCCUGCUCGGCGCCGGGAACUCCGCCGGAAACGGGGGCAUCGAUAAACCGAGCUCCCUUGGCGCUGAUCUUCUUCUGCAACGACUUGACCAAAUCCGGCGAGAUCGUCGACGAGUCAAUGAAGAUGGUGUCCUUGUUGACGCCAUCGGCAGUCAUCUCAUCGUAGGAGGCAUCCACAAUGGCAUUGUUCGGCAGCAUGGUGAUCACAAAGUCCGAGUUCUUGGCCAGCUCCGAGGUCUUGGCGUAGACGGUGGCUCCCUUGGCGGCCAGACCAUCGCAGGCGGGCUUGGAGAUAUCGAAGACAUGCAGCUUGUGGCCGGCCUUGAUUAGAUUGCUGGCCAUGUUGGCACCCAUGUUGCCCAGACCCACGAAGCCGAUGUUCUUGGCUCCGCCCUGGGUGGACAUGGCCCUCACGAGGGUCUGGCUCCAGGCAUUCAGCAUAGCGGGGGACAUCACACGGAGCGACAUGUCUGCGAAAAGUUCUACAGUGUUAUGUAAUCACUUCAAAUAGGCAACUAGCCACCAGAUUUCACCCACCUGUUGGUGUAAGAAAUCUAAGGGGAUACGGCUGAAACUGCAAAAGUUCUACGUGAUCGGACCGCUGUCAGAAGCACACUGCUCCCUGCUGUUGGAAGGUCGCUUAUUUUCAGCUCAUUCCAGCGGCCGCUCGAGGGUUGUCGGCUACACUAAUUAAUAUUAAUUAAUUAAUACAUUGAAUUAAUAUAGUAAAACCAUUUCCAAACAAAUCUUUAUAUCUAUUAAUUAUUUAUUUAUUUAUUUGGAAAAGUUCGAUAUGUUAAACAAUAAGUA